GAUGAACGCUGGCGGCGUGCCUAAUACAUGCAAGUCGAGCGAACAGAUAAGGAGCUUGUUCCUCUGAUGGUAGCGGCGGACGGGUGGGUAACGCGUGGAUCACCUACCUAUUUUACUGGGGUGACUUCGGGAAACCGGUGCUAAUACCAGCUCAUAUAUUGUACCGCAUGGUUCAAUAGUGAUACGCGGUUUUGCUGUCACUUUUAGAUGGAUCCGCGCCGCAUUAGCUAGUUGGUAAGGUAACGGCCUACCAAGGCAACGAUGCGUAGCCGAGCUGAGAGGAUGAUCAGCCACACUGGAACUGAGACACGGUCCAGACUCCUACGGGAGGCAGCAGUAGGGAAUCUUGCACAAUGGGCGAAAGCCUGACGGAGCAAUGCCGCGUGAGUGAAGAAGGUCUUCGGGUCGUAAAACCCUGUUAUUAGGGAAGAACAGCAGUGUAAGUAAAUAUGCACGUCUUGACGGUACCCAAUGAGAAAGCCCCGGCUAACUACGUG
Molecule: ribosomal RNA, 497 nt
Filed under: uncultured bacterium
Lineage: Bacteria
Description: partial 16S ribosomal RNA
Rfam family: Bacterial small subunit ribosomal RNA
Source: RNAcentral